This 1242-nucleotide long non-coding RNA is filed under the name Astyanax mexicanus (Mexican tetra). RNAcentral describes it as "lncRNA (ENSAMXG00005005871.1)". Lineage: Eukaryota; Metazoa; Chordata; Actinopteri; Characiformes; Acestrorhamphidae. The record is from RNAcentral.
GUACAGCCAUCGCAGCCUACCCAUCCUUCGAAGGACACACACCACAGGUCGGGCGCCCCCUGCUGUUCGGUUGCAGAAAGCUGUGUAACCCCACCCAUCCCCAUAGGUUUCAAUGGCAAAAUGGACAACUUUCAAUCAUGUUUUUUUCUAAUAUACUGUAAUACUACCUCCACUAUUUAAAUGCAACAGAUAGUGUAACGUCUGCUUAUAAUGUUAUUUUUUUUUAUUCCCACAGAACUUGUUUUUUUUACGUUAUUCAGCUCAAUUAAAAGGAACAAACUAACGAACUAAUUAAAUAAAUAAAUAAAACGGAUUUCAUAGGUCUCUUCACAAUCUGGCAAGCAUCAAGUUUAAUUCCUGAGAUGCCUUGUGUUACUAAGCAACCGUUUGGUUUAAAAUGUUUAGAUAUGAAUGUUUGAAGCUCAGAUUGGACUGAGAGGUUCAAGGCUAAACAACAAGCGACUUUGAUCUGCGAUUUAUCCUCAAUUUAUUUUACACAUUUUUACUCAUUUUCACUCAUUUUUACUCAUUUUCACUCAUUUUUACUCAUUCUCACUACAUUUCACUCAUUUUACACAUUCUUACACAUUUUUAAAACAUUUCUCACUACAUUUCACACAAUUUUCUCACAUUUUUACAAUUUUUGUUACACAUUUCUUACUCAUUCUCACACAUUUCUUCACUCAUUUCUAUCAGGGCUUUUCUCACCAUGUCUUUUUCCAGUUUUUUUUUUUUCAGGGCUGGAGCUGCUGGACUACCUGGACUGGCUGGAGGAGCACCACCCCUAUUUCCCCAGACCAACCGGUUGUGUCGUUUUUCACGGGCCCGGAUGGGCUCCAACAGUGGCUUUUGUGUUCCUCUGCCCAUCCUUUCCCCUGCAUGGACCGGAUGGAAUUCCUCAGCGCCUCUACUUCCCAGCUACCUGCCUGGUCUACCCCUCUUUCUUUCCCAUCGAGUGGGGGGACAGGUUCGAGUACUGGGAGUGGCGUCUGCGCAGCCAUGCUGCACACCUGUGCUUCAUGGAACUGACCUGGAGACUCUACCAGAAGACCAGGUUUGCCACAUCUGCCUGCAGACAGCUGGAUCCUCCAUCAGACAAGGACAAUGAACACAUAGGCCCCUGCAUUGCGCUCACAGAAGAGGACUGGGAACCACUAGCAAGAAACUUCGCGUCUGAUUCAGCAGUAUCCUUUAGUAUCCUUUAUUUAUUCUCUGUAUAUAUCUCUCUAUAUAUAUAUAUAU